RNAcentral lists this ribosomal RNA (494 nucleotides) under uncultured bacterium. RNAcentral's name for it is "partial 16S ribosomal RNA". It matches the Rfam family "Bacterial small subunit ribosomal RNA", at positions 28 to 507 of the family's 1533-position model. The record is from RNAcentral.
GACGAACGCUGGCGGCGUGCUUAACACAUGCAAGUCGAACGGUGAAGCGCCUUCCUUUUUGGUGGGUGUGGAUGAGUGGCGAACGGGUGAGUAACACGUGAGUAACCUGCCCCCUUCUUCUGGAUAACCGCAUGAAAGUGUGGCUAAUACGGGAUAUUCUGGGUCUGUCGCAUGAUGGGUCUGGGAAAGAUAUUGUUUCGGUGGGGGAUGGGCUCGCGGCCUAUCAGCUUGUUGGUGGGGUGAUGGCCUACCAAGGCGGUGACGGGUAGCCGGCCUGAGAGGGUGGACGGUCACACGGGGACUGAGACACGGCCCAGACUCCUACGGGAGGCAGCAGUGGGGAAUAUUGCACAAUGGGCGCAAGCCUGCUGCAGCGCCGCCGCGUGAGGGAUGGAGGCCUUCGGGUUGUGAACCUCUUUCGCCAGUGAAGCAGGCCUGCCUCGUUUGUGGGUGGGUUGACGGUAGCUGGAUAAGAAGCGCCGGCUAACUACGUG